This 477-nucleotide ribosomal RNA is filed under the name uncultured bacterium. RNAcentral describes it as "bacterial SSU rRNA". It matches the Rfam family "Bacterial small subunit ribosomal RNA", at positions 27 to 507 of the family's 1533-position model. The record is from RNAcentral.
GACUGAACGCUGGCGGCGUGCCUCAAACAUGCAAGUCGAGCGAGGCUAUGAGUUACCGCAAGGUAAGGCAUAGCCUAGCGGGCGAACGGGUGAGUAACACGUGGGUAACCUACCUGGAAGACAGGGAUAACGAUUCGAAAGGGUCGCUAAUACCUGAUAAUAUCCAUCUGCCGGAUGGCGGAGUGAAGAAAGGGGAAACCCGCUUUCAGAUGGGCCCGCGUCCCAUCAGCUAGUUGGUAAGGUAAAGGCUUACCAAGGCGACGACGGGUAGCCGGUCUGAGAGGAUGUACGGCCACACUGGGACUGAGAUACGGCCCAGACUCCUACGGGAGGCAGCAGUUGGGAAUCUUAGGCAAUGGACGAAAGUCUGACCUAGCGACGCCGCGUGAGGGAAGAAGGCCUUCGGGUUGUAAACCUCUGUCAUGGGGGAAGAAGGAAGUGACGGUACCCCAAGAGGAAGCCCCUGCUAACUACGUG